GAUGAACGCUAGCGGGAGGCCUAACACAUGCAAGCCGAGCGGUAUUGUUUCUUCGGCAAUGAGAGAGCGGCGUACGGGUGCGGAACACGUGUGCAACCUGCCUUUAUCUGGGGGAUAGCCUUUCGAAAGGAAGAUUAAUACUCCAUAACAUAUUGAACGGCAUCGUUCGAUAUUGAAAGCUCCGGCGGAUAGAGAUGGGCACGCGCAAGAUUAGCUAGUUGGUGAGGUAACGGCUCACCAAGGCGAUGAUCUUUAGGGGGCCUGAGAGGGUGAUCCCCCACACUGGUACUGAGACACGGACCAGACUCCUACGGGAGGCAGCAGUGAGGAAUAUUGGUCAAUGGGUGCAAGCCUGAACCAGCCAUCCCGCGUGAAGGACGACUGCCCUAUGGGUUGUAAACUUCUUUUGUAUAGGGAUAAACCUGCCCUCGGGAGGGUAGCUGAAGGUACUAUACGAAUAAGCACCGGCUAACUCCGUG
RNAcentral lists this ribosomal RNA (479 nucleotides) under uncultured bacterium. RNAcentral's name for it is "partial 16S ribosomal RNA". It matches the Rfam family "Bacterial small subunit ribosomal RNA", at positions 28 to 507 of the family's 1533-position model. The record is from RNAcentral.